UGCGUAGGCGGCCUGACAAGUCAGAGGUGAAAGGCUACGGCUUAACCGUAGUAAGCCUUUGAAACUGACAGGCUUGAGUGCAGGAGAGGAAAGUGGAAUUCCUAGUGUAGCGGUGAAAUGCGUAGAUAUUAGGAGGAACACCAGUGGCGAAGGCGACUUUCUGGACUGUAACUGACGCUGAGGCACGAAAGCGUGGGGAGCGAACAGGAUUAGAUACCCUGGUAGUCCA
This 229-nucleotide ribosomal RNA is filed under the name uncultured bacterium. RNAcentral's name for it is "partial 16S ribosomal RNA". It matches the Rfam family "Bacterial small subunit ribosomal RNA", at positions 568 to 797 of the family's 1533-position model. The record is from RNAcentral.